CCUGAAACAACAUACAGAACUACCACAUUUUGCUUCAGCUCACCCACCUUCACCCUCUCCUGCAGAGAGAUGAGCUGCCUCUGUCCCGGGGUCUUCAUGCCUGCAAAGGGGUCAUGGUGACUGCUCAUGUCUCUGUCUCUCACCAGCCGUACAGGUGCUGCAAGAAUGGAUCAUUUAAGCAUGGAAAUGUUGGCUGGUCGUGGAAUCGGUGCAGGUGGACGGUUGAUUAUUUCAGAGGUGGAUUGUGGCUCCACUGUGUCAUAAAUUUGAU
Long non-coding RNA from Sinocyclocheilus grahami, 271 nucleotides. RefSeq lists it as uncharacterized. NCBI's taxonomy places the organism in Eukaryota, Metazoa, Chordata, Actinopteri, Cypriniformes, Cyprinidae. The transcript is spliced from 3 exons. The record is from RefSeq and is a predicted model, not a curated record.